AAUUUGGGUUUUUAACUUAGGUUUGGGUGGCGGACGGGUGAGUAACGCGUAAAGAACUUGCCUCACAGCUAGGGACAACAUUUGGAAACGGAUGCUAAUACCUAAUAUUAUGAUAAUAGGGCAUCCUAUAAUUAUGAAAGCUAUAAGCGCUGUGAGAGAGCUUUGCGUCCCAUUAGCUAGUUGGAGAGGUAACGGCUCACCAAGGCGAUGAUGGGUAGCCGGCCUGAGAGGGUGAUCGGCCACAAGGGGACUGAGACACGGCCCUUACUCCUACGGGAGGCAGCAGUGGGGAAUAUUGGACAAUGGACCAAGAGUCUGAUCCAGCAAUUCUGUGUGCACGAUGAAGUUUUUCGGAAUGUAAAGUGCUUUCAGUUGGGAAGAAAUAAAUGACGGUACCAACAGAAGAAGUGACGGCUAAAUACGUGCCAGCAGCCGCGGUAAUACGUAUGUCACGAGCGUUAUCCGGAUUUAUUGG
Molecule: ribosomal RNA, 475 nt
Filed under: uncultured Fusobacterium sp.
Lineage: Bacteria; Fusobacteriati; Fusobacteriota; Fusobacteriia; Fusobacteriales; Fusobacteriaceae
Description: bacterial SSU rRNA
Rfam family: Bacterial small subunit ribosomal RNA
Source: RNAcentral